UGUUUGGGUCCCUGCUGUAAAUAAACCAUUAUGAGAUCCCAUUACAAACCAAGCUCAGUCUGCAGCGACUCAGUCUACGGAGACCCAGAGGAACUUACACGCCUUAGAAAGAUAGACAGGACGAGAGAGAGAGAGACAGAGGUCAAAAGAGAGAUUGUUAGACAGAGACAGAAAGAAACAGAAAAGGAGACAGGGAGAUAAAAGGAAAUGAGAAAGAAGAGAGAGACAGAAAAUUAGACAGAGAUAGAAAAAGAGACGCAUAGACAGAAAAGGAGACAGAGGAAGAAAGAGAGAGGGAAAACAAAGAGAGGGAAUGGCAUCAAUGGACACUAGCUGCCCAGAGACAAACAACAACAGCUUUUGAUUGAAAGAGCGCUGGAUUAUUGGUUUAAUCAGAUUACUGUGCAACAACCCUGCUGUCAUUAAUCUGGAGCAGCCUAAUGAAGGCCUGACCCAGUAGACUUCAUCCCUACACCCUGCCUGCCAGGGAUAGCUUCCUGUCUGCCAGUUACAACUUCCUGUCUUCCAGGAGGAGCUGGGAAGCAGGUGCUAUGCCCUCUCCGCUGAAACCUUGAGUUGCGUAGCCUACUCAAUGUCCGGCCCAGUUUACAACAGUUCACUACCAGGAAGGGCACCUUCUGACUAAUUUGAAGGACACAAGGCAUGCGUCGUUACAUAACGUUACGUAAGGAGCCGAGCCAUGUAGCACACAAUGAAACAGUGUUUGGAUUCCCCAAGAUUGUUCUGUUCUGCUUAUUGGCAACUCUCACACACCUUAAUUGGACCAGGAUUGGGGCACAAUUGAACAGGAACCCUCAGUAAUAUCUACUGAGGCUAAUGAGCAUAAUCUGAUGAAAGGACCUGUGUUCCCCCCCGAGUUUGGAUACAAGUGCACCAGACCUGUACUUUGCCCUCCUUUAUCCAUUUGUGAAGCGAAUACAAUAGGAGUGUGUGUGUGUGUGUGCAUGCGGCUGGUCUUAAGUGUAUUCCAUAGACCUUCCUGCACUGUGCUGACUGAUGCUCAGAGAAACCCGGCCUCUGUUUUUAAGUAAAAACAAUAAGGAAACUGAGCUAUUUGUUAUCAACAAAUAAUGAUAUUUCUUGUUUUCAAUCAAUAAUAAAAAGGGUACAUAUGUUUUUUUUCUGGUUUGUCCUACAGGAGGACUCUAGUGCCCUAUUCCUCAUG
Molecule: long non-coding RNA, 1186 nt
Organism: Hypomesus transpacificus
Lineage: Eukaryota; Metazoa; Chordata; Actinopteri; Osmeriformes; Osmeridae
Exons: 3
Source: RefSeq, a predicted model, not a curated record